GAUGAACGCUGGCGGCGUGCCUAAUACAUGCAAGUCGAGCGAACAGACGAGGAGCUUGCUCCUCUGACGUUAGCGGCGGACGGGUGAGUAACACGUGGAUAACCUACCUAUAAGACUGGGAUAACUUCGGGAAACCGGAGCUAAUACCGGAUAAUAUAUUGAACCGCAUGGUUCAAUAGUGAAAGACGGUUUUGCUGUCACUUAUAGAUGGAUCCGCGCCGCAUUAGCUAGUUGGUAAGGUAACGGCUUACCAAGGCAACGAUGCGUAGCCGACCUGAGAGGGUGAACGGCCACACUAGAACUGAGACACGGUCCAGACUCCUACGGGAGGCAGCAGUAGGGAAUCUUCCGCAAUGGGCGAAAGCCUAACGGAGCAACGCCGCGUGAGUGAUGAAGGUCUUCGGAUCGUAAAACUCUGUUAUUAGGGAAGAACAAAUGUGUAAGUAACUAUGCACGUCUUGACGGUACCUAAUCAGAAAGCCACGGCUAACUACGUG
RNAcentral lists this ribosomal RNA (497 nucleotides) under uncultured bacterium. Its description in RNAcentral is "partial 16S ribosomal RNA". It matches the Rfam family "Bacterial small subunit ribosomal RNA", at positions 28 to 507 of the family's 1533-position model. The record is from RNAcentral.